UACGGGGGGAGCAAGCGUUGUUCGGAUUUACUGGGCGUAAAGGGCGGGUAGGCGGCCACCGCAAGUCGACUGUGAAAUCUCCGGGCUUAACCCGGAAAGGUCAGCCGAUACUGCGGGGCUAGAGUGCAGGAGGGGCAACUGGAAUUCUCGGUGUAGCGGUGAAAUGCGUAGAUAUCGAGAGGAACACCUGCGGCGAAGGCGGGUUGCUGGGCUGACACUGACGCUGAACUGCGAAAGCUAGGGGAGCGAACGGG
This 254-nucleotide ribosomal RNA is filed under the name uncultured bacterium. RNAcentral describes it as "partial 16S ribosomal RNA". It matches the Rfam family "Bacterial small subunit ribosomal RNA", at positions 524 to 776 of the family's 1533-position model. The record is from RNAcentral.